GUGUCAGCCGCCGCGGUAAUACGGAGGGUGCAAGCGUUAUCCGGAUUUACUGGGUUUAAAGGGUGUGUAGGCGGGCUUUUAAGUCUGGGGUGAAAUCCCCGAGCUCAACUCGGGAACUGCCUUGGAUACUAUUAGCCUUGAAUUAUGUUGAGGUAGGCGGAAUAUAACAUGUAGCGGUGAAAUGCAUAGAUAUGUUAUAGAACACCGAUUGCGAAGGCAGCUUGCUAAACAUAUAUUGACGCUGAGGCACGAAAGCGUGGGGAUCAAACAGGAUUAGAUACCCUGGUAGUCCACGCCCUAAACGAUGAUUACUCGUCAUACGUGAUACACUAUGUGUGACCAAGCGAAAGCGUUAAGUAAUCCACCUGGGAAGUACGUCCGCAAGGAUGAA
Molecule: ribosomal RNA, 391 nt
Filed under: uncultured bacterium
Lineage: Bacteria
Description: bacterial SSU rRNA
Rfam family: Bacterial small subunit ribosomal RNA
Source: RNAcentral